RNAcentral lists this ribosomal RNA (337 nucleotides) under Metagonia sp. BB-2004a. RNAcentral describes it as "partial 12S ribosomal RNA". The record is from RNAcentral. Lineage: Eukaryota; Metazoa; Arthropoda; Arachnida; Araneae; Pholcidae.
UUACAUUCACUAGGUAGUAAACUAAAUUAAAACCUUGUAAACAUGGCGGUCUUAUAACAUUAAAGAAACUCGCUUUAUAAUCGUCAAUCCUCGCUAAAUUUUACUUAAUUUCAAAGUCUAUAUACCGCCGUUAAAGACCACACUCACCAAUGACGCACUUUUUCUAUAAAUACUAAAAAUCAGGUCAAGAGUGUAGCCUACAACUAAGAAAAAGUAAGUUACAUUAAAAACAAUUUAAGAGAUGUCCCUCCCUCAAGUGAGAGCUGAAAAAGAAUUUAUUUGUACAUUAAGAUUAAAAAUCUAGAUAGAACAAUUCAAUUAAAGACGCACACAUCGC